This 881-nucleotide ribosomal RNA is filed under the name uncultured bacterium. RNAcentral's name for it is "bacterial SSU rRNA". It matches the Rfam family "Bacterial small subunit ribosomal RNA", at positions 57 to 928 of the family's 1533-position model. The record is from RNAcentral.
GCAGUCGACGGCAGCACAGUCGUAGCAAUACGGUGGGUGGCGAGUGGCGGACGGGUGAGUAAUGCAUCGGGACCUACCUGAACGUGGGGGAUAACGUAGGGAAACUUACGCUAAUACCGCAUACGUCCUACGGGAGAAAGCGGGGGACCUUCGGGCCUCGCGCGGUCAGACGGACCGAUGUUCGAUUAGCUAGUUGGUAGGGUAAUGGCCUACCAAGGCGACGAUCGAUAGCUGGUCUGAGAGGAUGAUCAGCCACACUGGAACUGAGACACGGUCCAGACUCCUACGGGAGGCAGCAGUGGGGAAUAUUGGACAAUGGGCGCAAGCCUGAUCCAGCAAUGCCGCGUGUGUGAAGAAGGCCUUCGGGUUGUAAAGUACUUUUAUCGGGAGCGAAAUACCAUCGGUUAAUAACCGGUGGGGCUGACGGUACCCGAGGAAUAAGCACCGGCUAACUUCGUGCCAGCAGCCGCGGUAAUACGAAGGGUGCAAGCGUUAAUCGGAAUUACUGGGCGUAAAGGGUGCGUAGGCGGUUUGUUAAGUCUGUCGUGAAAUCCCCGGGCUCAACCUGGGAAUGGCGAUGGAUACUGGCAAGCUAGAGUGUGUCAGAGGAUGGUGGAAUUUCCGGUGUAGCGGUGAAAUGCGUAGAGAUCGGAAGGAACAUCAGUGGCGAAGGCGGCCAUCUGGGACAACACUGACGCUGAAGCACGAAAGCGUGGGGAGCAAGCAGGAUUAGAUACCCUGGUAGUCCACGCCCUAAACGAUGCGAACUGGAUGUUGGUCUCAACUCGGAGAUCAGUGUCGAAGCUAACGCGUUAAGUUCGCCGCCUGGGGAGUACGGUCGCAAGACUGAAACUCAAAGGAAUUGACGGGGGCCCGCACAA